Molecule: ribosomal RNA, 823 nt
Filed under: uncultured Actinomycetes bacterium
Lineage: Bacteria; Bacillati; Actinomycetota; Actinomycetes
Description: bacterial SSU rRNA
Rfam family: Bacterial small subunit ribosomal RNA
Source: RNAcentral
AUUAUUGGGCGUAAAGAGCUCGUAGGCGGUUUGUCGCGUCUGCUGUGAAAACUGGAGGCUCAACCUCCAGCCUGCAGUGGGUACGGGCAAACUAGAGUGCGGUAGGGGAGAUUGGAAUUCCUGGUGUAGCGGUGGAAUGCGCAGAUAUCAGGAGGAACACCGAUGGCGAAGGCAGAUCUCUGGGCCGUAACUGACGCUGAGGAGCGAAAGCAUGGGGAGCGAACAGGAUUAGAUACCCUGGUAGUCCAUGCCGUAAACGUUGGGCGCUAGAUGUGGGGACCAUUCCACGGUUUCCGUGUCGCAGCUAACGCAUUAAGCGCCCCGCCUGGGGAGUACGGCCGCAAGGCUAAAACUCAAAGGAAUUGACGGGGGCCCGCACAAGCGGCGGAGCAUGCGGAUUAAUUCGAUGCAACGCGAAGAACCUUACCAAGGCUUGACAUAUACCUGAAAAGGCUGGAAACAGUCUCCCCGCAAGGCAGGUAUACAGGUGGUGCAUGGUUGUCGUCAGCUCGUGUCGUGAGAUGUUGGGUUAAGUCCCGCAACGAGCGCAACCCUCGUUCUAUGUUGCCAGCACGUAAUGGUGGGAACUCAUAGGAGACUGCCGGGGUCAACUCGGAGGAAGGUGGGGAUGACGUCAAAUCAUCAUGCCCCUUAUGUCUUGGGCUUCACGCAUGCUACAAUGGCCGGUACAAAGGGCUGCAAUACCGUAAGGUGGAGCGAAUCCCAAAAAGCCGGUCUCAGUUCGGAUUGAGGUCUGCAACUCGACCUCAUGAAGUCGGAGUCGCUAGUAAUCGCAGAUCAGCAACGUGCGGUGAAUACGUUC